This is a small nucleolar RNA of Mesoplodon densirostris (Blainville's beaked whale), 68 nucleotides long. RefSeq annotates it as small nucleolar RNA SNORD73. The transcript has a single exon. NCBI's taxonomy places the organism in Eukaryota, Metazoa, Chordata, Mammalia, Artiodactyla, Ziphiidae. The record is from RefSeq and is a predicted model, not a curated record.
AAUGAAUGAUGACAAGAUGUUUCGGUCCCAUAUGAUAUGAUUAUUCCGUUAUAUUUAUUUCUGAUACU